GGAGAAUAGAUGAUGUAGAACAAGAACAAAGGGAUCAAGAGAAACCUCAAGAUUUAAAGGAAGAGAAACAAAUUCCCUGAACUUUAUUAAUUCACGAUUUUCAAUAAUAUCAUAAUAAUUAAAGCUUUUAAUAAUAAAAUACCAAGACACAAGUACUUAUAGACUAGCAAUCUUACUAGGAUUAGGGAACCCUAAAACUAAACCCCAA
RNAcentral lists this unclassified non-coding RNA (208 nucleotides) under Hevea brasiliensis (rubber tree). The record is from RNAcentral. Lineage: Eukaryota; Viridiplantae; Streptophyta; Magnoliopsida; Malpighiales; Euphorbiaceae.